This is a long non-coding RNA of Dendroctonus ponderosae (mountain pine beetle), 967 nucleotides long. RefSeq lists it as uncharacterized. The record is from RefSeq and is a predicted model, not a curated record. Lineage: Eukaryota; Metazoa; Arthropoda; Insecta; Coleoptera; Curculionidae. The transcript has 3 exons.
ACAACAAACUCAACAUAAGUGUUGAGACUGAAAACGAUAAUUAGACAGAGCUAGAAAAAAACACAGAUAGCGCUACAUAAAAAUUUCCGACUUUUGAAAACUGGGCCAGAAUUCUAGUAGCGCAGUAAAUUGUUGUUUAUGUCACUUAUAAGUAGAUACGGUGAAUAUGCAAAAUAUUAAGUGUUAAAUAUUCAAACAUUCAAUGCGCCAUGUAAGGUGUUUUAGCAAACAAAUUACGACGGGAAAAAAUUCCUGGUAAAUGGUUUUCUUCUGACAUCGUAAGUUUCAUACUACUUCACUUUGAAGAAGCGUAAAAUUAUUUGCUAAUGAUUCCUAUGAGAUACAUGCGUCCCCAUACACAGAAGAUGGCAUUCAGAGGUAGAUAGUUUGCGAAAUUGUGGCCCUCUUCACCAAAUUGAAGAAUUUAAAAUAGUAUUCACAGUGGGAAUUUCUCUCUCUCUCUUGGGUUCUGUUUUCUAUUCCAGUAAUCCCAGGAAUCCAAAUCGGUUUAUUUUUGGACUAUUGACGCUGGAUGUGAUACAAAACCUGCAACCGAUCUGGUUCCGUCUUGAUCCACCGUGACCCCUGAUGUAUAUUGCACACUCGUGCACCAAGUAAGUAAGCGCACAACUUUCAUGUAGAAAUUGCGAUUCUCUUUACUCGAGCAAUUUUGCUUUUAGCACAUAACAGAUGCACUUCAUAGGUAUCGGUUAAUAGAUAUCGGCUGCGUAUGCCUCUUGAGAUGCGUCUGUGAAACAAUGAAUGUCUGUGUUUGAGCACAAAGAUAAUGCUGGAUCUAAAAAUAGUUGUUAAUAGGUACCACUUGUAAGGUUCCGCGGCUAUCACGGUUCCAAUGCGCUCAGGAUGGCGAACUAAAGGACAUUUUUCUAAUGUCUUGUCGCCUAGAGUGCCUAAAAGAUGUGAUAUAAAGAAACAAAUUGAUGUCAAAGCAAAGCAAAGUUCGCAU